UGCGUAGGCGGAAGAUUAAGUCAGUGGUGAAAUCCUGCAGCUCAACUGUAGAACUGUCAUUGAUACUGAUCUUCUUGAAUACAGUUGAGGUAGGCGGAAUAUGUAAUGUAGCGGUGAAAUGCUUAGAUAUUACAUAGAACACCGAUUGCGAAGGCAGCUUACUAACCUGUGAUUGACGCUGAGGUACGAAAGCGUGGGGAGCGAACAGGAUUAGAUACCCUGGUAGUCC
RNAcentral lists this ribosomal RNA (229 nucleotides) under uncultured bacterium. RNAcentral's name for it is "partial 16S ribosomal RNA". It matches the Rfam family "Bacterial small subunit ribosomal RNA", at positions 568 to 796 of the family's 1533-position model. The record is from RNAcentral.